GCCUGCCACCAAAGACGUGACUUUACAGUUAGCGAUUUAGCCGACCUACAUGGUGUGAAGUGAGAGAAUAUCCACCGUUGAAUGUCAGAGCAUGGUAUAAGAGUUUCUGACUUGAAUAAUUCCACUGACAUCGCAACGCUGGAUGCUGGAUGAUUGCAGAGAUCCCAGGAUCUCCUCAAAAUUCUGGGUUCAAAAUGAUGCAAGGACAAAGGUUCAAAACUUCGUGUGCAAGAAUUCAUGCGACGUCUGGAUCCACCGGGAAUUGUCCGCACACUACAACUACAAACUGUUCGGCAUAGAAGAUAUUCUGUGCCUGCCCCCAACAGUCAAAGGCAUAUCUAUGGCAACCAUAAACUCGUAAAUUAAGGCUCUAUGUUGGGGAACUAGGAAGGAAGUACAAAAAUAAAUUAAGACCAUAUUUUUUUCACCCAUUUUGGAAAGGUAAACCCGUAUAUAAUAUAGACCAUUUUAAAUUAAGUUGAAAUAUUUCAUGCUUUUAUUUUUUAUUACACGCUAGGAAUCAAUUUUGAUUGGGAGUGCUUUCGCUGCCAGCCUCUCCCAGUCAAAAUGGAUUGGGUGUCAAGCGCUGUCAAUGGCAGCCAAUGAGUUAAAUGUUGAUGUUUAUGGCUUGCAAAAAAAAAAAAGAAACCCUCAAGUUUAAUGUCUCAAAAAAAAAAAUUUAAAAGAUUUUUUGGGCCGUGCAACACAUCUUCUGUUAUUGCAGAAAUGUUGGUAUAGUUUUAGUUGACACUUCUGGCAGACGAUUGGAUGAAAUUUCACCCAUUGAAAUCAAAUCAUGAGGUUUGGCAUGCCCUCUUUGCUUGUUGGCUCUUUGAAAAUGGUUUAACAAGUGCAACUUCAAAAAGGAUCAUGUAAAGUGCAUGUUUCUCACACAUAACAUUAAAAAUAACCAAUAAAAGCAUGAAAUAUCCCCCGACCCAAAAAUUACUUUGUUCUGGUACUUGAGUAAAAAUGAGCUUAGAUUUUUCUUUUUUUUUUUUUUUUUUUCCCAUCAGAAAAAAAAUGCACGACUGAACGGGUUAAGUCUAAUGUCAAAACUUCAGAACUUCCACUUUAACGUUAUGUGUAAAACGACCUAAAAGUAACAACUGAGUGUCACCCUUUCCAUUUUGCAGUCUUGUCCAUUGUCCUCAACCAUCCCCCCCCCCCCCCCCCCCUUCUUAAUAAAAUUAGAUAAACAAACACUUUCACAGUCUAGGCACAUACAGGUUAAGCUAAUCAAUAAAUUUGCCAUAUAGGAUGUGUGCAUGUUUAGUUAUAUUUCAGGACUAGUUGGUUCAACUUUACAUUACAUAUCUGGAGUUUUAUGUGAUGGUCCACAUGGUCAUCACCCCCAUGUAGGUGUCAGUCCCUGAAGUGCAGCUGCAACAAGACUCGACUCCUGAAAAAAUUCAGCAGAUGUCAGAAUGUUCUAAUUUAUUGAAUGUCUACAGCGAGACUAUCCAUCCUGCAUCAGAUAUUUGGAGUUGUUUGCAAUGACAGCAUAGCAUGUUGGUUGUGGUUGAUGUGACAGUACCUCACCAAUGUGCAGAAAUAAUAAAGGCAAUGAUUAUUUUUCUGCUAAGUAACAUUUUAUUGAUGACCAUUGUAAUACAAUACAAAUAAUAAACAGGCAAUUGAUCUACAAAAAAGGACUUCCAGCACAACUAACUCGUUCAUCAAUGAAAAAAAUAAAAACCCUGUCCGCUGGACACCAACAUGAGCCACUUAAGGUCAGUAACUUUCUCCCCUAAAACUGGCCAGCUGCUCACCAUCAGCAUCCCCUGAAAUGUAAAUUGUCUUCGGGGAGCUUUAGGGUAAAAAACAGGUAGAUGAGUGAGGACGAGAGAUGUCUGUUAUUGUUGAGGAACAACACCCAAACCUUCGUCCGAAGUAUCUAGAAGAAAAUAGAUGACAACACAAGGCAAAAUGGUAUUUAAAAAAAAAAAAAUAGCUACGGAAGCAUUAGACGAGACACCGGGCGGUGCAGUCUACCUGAGCCCUUAAGAGCGUAAACACGAACUUGAAUGUGUAAAUUUCGCUUCACUAAUUUGCACUAACGCUAAACUAUUCCUUGUGGGUUUAAUAUUGUUAGCAAAUUUAUCCGUGUCCCGCCUUGCAUCCCCUUCCUGAGACCCAAAGCGAGGUAUUAGCUUAUUUAAAAAGAUAUAGAUUCAACAUACCUCAACUGGACUUAAGUAAAAAGUUAAAAAAAAAACAAAAAAAAA
This is a long non-coding RNA of Corythoichthys intestinalis (scribbled pipefish), 2228 nucleotides long. RefSeq lists it as uncharacterized. NCBI's taxonomy places the organism in Eukaryota, Metazoa, Chordata, Actinopteri, Syngnathiformes, Syngnathidae. The transcript has 3 exons. The record is from RefSeq and is a predicted model, not a curated record.